CAAGAAUGUGGCGCUCCAUGGUUGGUGAGCAUGCUCGGUCCGUCCGAGAAGCCUUAAAACUAUGACGACACAUUCACCUUGAACCAAGGGUUCAAGGGUUACAGCCUGCGGCGGCAUCUCGGAGAUUCC
RNAcentral lists this small RNA (129 nucleotides) under Enterobacter hormaechei. RNAcentral's name for it is "partial 6S RNA". It matches the Rfam family "6S / SsrS RNA", at positions 54 to 187 of the family's 187-position model. From Rfam's summary of the family: E. coli 6S RNA was the first non coding RNA to be sequenced, but its function was unknown until recently. It consists of 184 nucleotides that fold into an extended hairpin structure with a large single-stranded internal bulge. The 6S RNA specifically associates with RNA polymerase holoenzyme containing the sigma70 specificity factor. Lineage: Bacteria; Pseudomonadati; Pseudomonadota; Gammaproteobacteria; Enterobacterales; Enterobacteriaceae. The record is from RNAcentral.